AGUUUAGCUCAGUGGUAGAGCAGCUGUUUUGUAAACAGCCGGUCGUUGGUUCGAAUCCGACAAC
Molecule: transfer RNA, 64 nt
Filed under: human gut metagenome
Rfam family: tRNA
About the family: Transfer RNA (tRNA) molecules are approximately 80 nucleotides in length. Their secondary structure includes four short double-helical elements and three loops (D, anti-codon, and T loops). Further hydrogen bonds mediate the characteristic L-shaped molecular structure. tRNAs have two regions of fundamental functional importance: the anti-codon, which is responsible for specific mRNA codon recognition, and the 3' end, to which the tRNAs corresponding amino acid is attached (by aminoacyl-tRNA synthetases). tRNAs cope with the degeneracy of the genetic code in two manners: having more than one tRNA (with a specific anti-codon) for a particular amino acid; and 'wobble' base-pairing, i.e. permitting non-standard base-pairing at the 3rd anti-codon position.
Source: RNAcentral